RNAcentral lists this long non-coding RNA (5180 nucleotides) under Sus scrofa (pig). RNAcentral describes it as "lncRNA (ENSSSCG00000057097.1)". The record is from RNAcentral. Lineage: Eukaryota; Metazoa; Chordata; Mammalia; Artiodactyla; Suidae.
GAACUAGGAAGAGCAGCUCCUGGUUCUUCAAAUUGCCAUGCCCUGAAGGAAAUCUGGCACAAAAGACUCCUUUCUCCAAGCUUGAGCCCCUCUCUUCCUAAAGGGGAAGGAGUGGAGAUGAAAUUGCAACCCUCUAAUCCCUUGAUUGGUUUCCCUGGCAACCAACCUCUAUUCUUAGGUGCUUUCUAAAAGGCACCUUAUUAAUUAUUCUACCCCUGUCAUUACAGAAAAUUCUCAGGGCUUUAGGAGCUCUGCCAAAAACUGAGGGGCAGAGACUAACAUAUUAUUUCUUAUUGUGUCACACUUUGCUUUGCAACUUUUGUGCACACUUUCAGGAAAAAAAAUUAAAAGCUUUAACAUAAACAGUUCUACUGCAUCAAUUCUAUCAUGAUUCUGCCCUCCUGUAGACACAGUUGGGGCCUGCAGCCCUUCUCCCCCGGCCCCCUAGAAGAGGCUCUUGACUCUCCUGUUCCUUUCAUCCACUGGCUCCACUGGGAUGCCAGUGGAGCAUCCCACUCCCUGCCAGCCCUUCUGUAGUCUCUCACUGCCUCAGGAGAAUCUUCAAAGGCCUUUCUGGGCCUCCUCUUACCACCUUCUCCACCACAUCCUUCCUCCCCGCUGCCCAGGGAUCCUCAGCUCCAGGUUCCUAUUGUCCUCCCUGUUCUGGGAGAGUCCACAGCACACACACUUCUCCUACCUUCCCUCAGUCUGGAACACUGCCUCUUCUCCCUCUUCUCUAUAAGGACUCACAGGCUGACAAAACAUCAAGAGUCCCCAGCUCAUUUUUCACCUGGCACUUGAAUUGUCCUUUGGAGUCACUCAGACCUUGAGGGCACCUGAACAUUUCAUCCACUGAAGUUCAUUCGUGGACAUACCUGUUCCCCUUGCUGACCUGAGGGGCCAGUGGUGGUCUCCCACAGCACCUGGCCAUUACUUGGUGGACUUGAUUUGGAUAAGGAAGGGGCCCAGGCUUUUUCACACAGUUUGCUAUUACUCAUCCUUAAAAAGGAAGGAGAUUCUGACACAUGUCACAAACCAGAGGAAACUUGAAAACAGUAUGUUGAGUGAAAUAAACCAGUCAGUAAAGGACAAAUAUAUGAUUCCAUUUUUAUGAAUGAGAUGUCUAGAAUAGUCAAAGUCAUAGGCACAGAAAGAUUGCAUGGGCUCAGCGAGGGGGGAGCCAUUGUUUAAUGGGUUCAGAGUUUCAUUUUUGGAGGAUGAAAACAUUCUAGAGUAAUGGUUGUAUGACAAUGUGAACGUACUUAGUGCCACUGAAUUGUGUACUUAAAAAUGUUUAAAAUGGUUAAGUGUUAUGCAUAUUUUACCACAAUAAAAUAAAAGUGGCACAAUGUAUUUUUUCCACAAGACUGGCUUUUCAAGAUUCUUCACCUUGACCCAUGUCUUGGGUUGGGAUCCCUGGGAAGCUGAAUCUGAGGUGUGUGCAGGUGUUUCUUAGGGACACUGGGCAUAGUGUGUAAUGAUGGGCAUUAGGCUGGAAGUAUCACCACAUCUCUGAGCUCUGGCACUGGGCAGCCCUGCAGAGCUGUCCUAAAUGGAGGAAGCUACUAUGGUCCAGUCCAUGCAUGACAAGUUCCGGUAGCAUCAUAUCAUUUUAUGUUUGAAACAUUAUGCUUUCUAUUCUAUUUCAUUUUAAAAAUGUAUUUUUAUUAUAGUUGAUUUAAGUGUUGUGCCAAUUUCUGCUGUAUAGCAAAGUGACCCAGUCAUAUAUGUAUAUAUGUGUGUGUAUGUGUAUAUACAUUCUUUUUAUUAUAUUAUUUUCCAUCAUUAUAUAUCCCAAGCAAUUGAAUAUAGUUCCCUGUGCUAUUUAAAAAAUGUUGAUCACUACCCACUAAAUGGAGAAGACACUAAUGAGUUGUCAUCGACAGUCUGGAAAGUUCUACAUGAGGGAAGUAGACAAGGAGAGACACUUUGGGAGGCCCAGAAUACUCAGUCUCAUUUCAUCGUUUCUGUGGUCAGUUUUGCUGACUUAUGUGCCAGAAGCAGCCUUCAAAUUCAGCUAAAGAGGACAGGAAGGAGAUUGGAAGGGAGUGUGUUAUGAAGAGAGACAGCCUCAAAGGCUGCAGGGGAGGGGCUUUCCUGACUCUUCCAGCAUUCUGAUGGCUAAGUCACCCCAAUCUCUGAUUCUGUCAUCACAUUGUCAUCUCCAUUUGUCUCUGGGUCUCAAAUCUCCUCCAUUGUCUUCUGAGGACACUUGUCAUUGGAUUCAGGGCACACCCUAGUUCAAGGUUAUCUCUUCUAAGAUCCUAACUUAAUUAUAUCUGCAAAGAUGCUUAUUCCAAAUAAAGUCACAUUCCUAGGCUCAUGAAUGUGUCAUUUUGGGGAGUUACCAUUCAACUGCUACACAGGGUGUAUUAGUACCAAUUCUUUUGGCCAUAUUUUGAGGACGACAUAUGUACUUAACCUCCCCAUUUCACUGCUGGUGAGGAGAUCAAGACAACAUUGAGACACAUAGCUACUAUGGUCCUGCAUGUUUGUUUCUUCAUCUGACUUCUCUGACUUUGUGUACCCAUUGCUCCCAAAUCAAGCCUUAGGACCUUAUGCCAUAAGUAAAUACCAUGGAGGCCAUGAUUAGGUAAAGAAGGCUGAUUAACCACAAGUAGCAAGCUGCACCAUAAAUUCCUCAGCCAUCAGAGCUGCCAGGGUUGUGCCCUCCCCGAGGAAGUUUUCUGUACAAAGGGGCCUCCACUCCUGCCUCUGAGACACACCUCACAUUACUGAGAUGGCCCUUGUUCUCUGAUGCUAUCGGCUCACUGAGGGUGUUUCCAGUCCAGGUGUCAUUUCCAUAAUUCAUUCAUGUGUAUUCCACAUUGCGGUGAGUCAGGGGGUGUCAGGAAACACUGAGGAAUGAGCUGGUGACCACACAUGCUCAUCCUGGCAGAUGAUGGCAUCUUUCUCCUCACCCUUCAGAGCAGGUUUUAAACUUUCAGAUGCAUGAGAAGCAGUUUGAAAACAGUUGUGGCUGGAUUGUGUCCUCUCAAAUCUAUACAUUGAAGCCCCUACCCCCAGCACUUCAGAAUAUGGCUAUAUUUGGAUAUGGGGCCUUUAACGAGGUGAUCAAGGUAAAAGAGGUAAUGUGAGUAGGCCCUAAUCUGAUAAGACUCCUGUCCUUAUAAGAAAAGGCAAUCAGGACACGGAUUCACACAGAGGGACAACUACUGGAAGACAGGGAGAAGAUGGCUGUCUACAGCCAAGGAAAGAGUCCUCAGGAGAAACCUGCCCUUUUACACUGAGAUUUCAAACUUCCAGCCUCCAGGACUAUGAGAAAAUAAAUAUCUCUUUUUUAAACUUCUCUAUCUUUGGUAUUUGUUUUUCAGCCCAAGUUGACUGAUACAAGAGCUUAUGGAAAAAUGUAAAUUCCUGCCUCUUCCCAUGGAACUAGUCUUAAAUCACGGGAUAAGUUGGUGCUUCUCAGCCUUUAUUUCAUCUUUGUCCCCACUAAGACUUUCUAAGACAUUUUUUUCUGUCCCCAUCUCCAUGAAAUUUUCACACCACAGAUACACAGGGUAUCUGUUUUUGUCCUGGGUCUUUGGAGGGCUACAAACCACUGUGUACAUGCUUUUAGCCCCAAGAACCAAUUUUUUUCCCCAUAGGAAGGAUAUUACCCUCAUCAAGAACGCAUGGGACAGAAAAAGAAUUGCCAUAUUUUUGCAUAAGGAAAAAUACUGCUUGAAAACAUCUCACCCGUGAGGUUGGGAGCUCCAUCUCAUACCACCUAUGCAUUUGCAGAAAGCCCCAGGAUCCAUUCUGGGAUCACAUGGAGCAGCACAGUCAGUGGCAGGUGGAUACUCAUGGGUGAAGUAGGUAGAUUUGGGGUUGAGUGUUCUGUCUCUGAGCUAGACUCUCAUUAAGUCUGGCUCUUUGGGGUUCAUUAUCUGUGCAAGUGAGACCCUGAAGCCUACCUGUGAGGUUGUCAAGAGGUUAGAAUGAGUGUUACAGAAGGCUCAGUGACCCAUCUGUGUUCUCCAGGUGGUAGUAUUUCCCCCAUUCUCAUUUCAUCCUAAUCAGGAGAGAGAUGGGUUCGACUUGGUCUCAGGCACUUACCGAGUGUGCUGAGGUGGUGUUUUCAUUAAAUCAGAGGCGAAUCCAUUAACCUUACUUGUUAGGCCAUUGAGGAGCCCUGGAUUCCUUUGCUCAUACAGUAAUGAAAAUCUGCUUUGGAUUUGUGUGAUGAGAAUUUUGCUUCCUUCUGGCUCACAGGAAGGAGAUCAGUGUCUGCUUGGGAAACAGUUCUUCCCAUCGGACAUCCAUGGGAACAAGAAUCCUUUGGGCUGCUGAAUCCUCAAGGCCUCAUAAGUUAAAGCAUUUUCUCACAAGACUGCUUCUAUUUCAGGUGCCAUUCACAAAUAAUAGGGCCCACAUUACCCAAAACUUCUGUCUGACUUUGCUGCAAAUUGGAGAUCCCCACUUAAACAUUUGCUAGAACAGUUUACAGAACUCAGGAAACGCUUACUAAUAUUUCCUGUUUAUUAUAGAAUAAAGGAUGUGAUGAAGGAUGCAGAAGAAGAGGCACAUGAGGCGAGGUCUGGAAGGGUUCCAAGCACAUGAGCUUGUGUUGCCAUAGAAUUUGGGCGCACCAACUGCUGGGCACAUGGAUGUGUUCACUGAUCCAGAAGCUCACACACUACUAUUGGGAUUUUAAUGGAGGCUUUGUCAUAUAGGCAUGAUAGAUCAUUAACUUCAUUUUCAGCCUCUCUCCUCUGGAGAAUGCAGGAUGGGACUGAAAGUUCCAAGCUUCUAAGGAUAAUUUUGUUUUUCUGGUGACCAGCCCCUCUAGAAGCCUACCCAGAGUGGCCUCAUUAGAACAAAAGAUACUUUGAGCACCCAGGAAAUUCCAAGGUGUUUAGGAGAUCUGUGUCAGGAACUGAGGUCAAAGACUAAAUGUGGAGUUCCUGUCGUGGCGCAGUGGUUAACGAAUCCGACUAGGAACCAUGAGGUUGCGGGUUCGAUCCCUGACCUUGCUCAGUAGGUUAAUGAUCCAGCGUUGCUGUGAGCUGUGGAGUAGGUCGCAGACGUGGCUCGGCUCCCGCUUUGCUGUGGCUCUGGUGUAGGCUGGCAGCUACAGCUCCGAUUAGACCCCUAGCCUGGGAAGGGAGCAGCCCAUAUGCUGUGGGAGCAGCCCAAGAAAUGGCAAAAAGACUUUAUGUUAGAAUAAAAAAUUC